Molecule: unclassified non-coding RNA, 270 nt
Filed under: Hevea brasiliensis (rubber tree)
Lineage: Eukaryota; Viridiplantae; Streptophyta; Magnoliopsida; Malpighiales; Euphorbiaceae
Source: RNAcentral
AUAGAAUUAAAAUCAUGUAUUUCAAUUUAAAAUCAAAUUAAAUGGGUGGAUAAUUUUUAUAACCCAUCCUUAAACUUUAUCUUGCGUUUUACUUUCGUCACUUAACUUUAAUUUGUUACUAGAAAAAUCUUUAAAUUUUAAUUGUUUUGCAAAAAUCCCUAAAAUAUGUUAUAACAGAUAUUCCGUCAAAAAAAAUGAAAUUGCUUUUUUAUCUUUUUUACUCUUCAUACUAAAAAAACCAGUUGCUUCACUCGUAGGCCUAUCAUCAAA